GAUGAACGCUGGCGGCGUGCCUAAUACAUGCAAGUCGAGCGAACAGACGAGGAGCUUGCUCCUCUGACGUUAGCGGCGGACGGGUGAGUAACACGUGGAUAACCUACCUAUAAGACUGGGAUAACUUCGGGAAACCGGAGCUAAUACCGGAUAAUAUAUUGAACCGCAUGGUUCAAUAGUGAAAGACGGUUUUGCUGUCACUUAUAGAUGGAUCCGCGCCGCAUUAGCUAGUUGGUAAGGUAACGGCUUACCAAGGCAACGAUGCGUAGCCGACCUGAGAGGGGGAUCGGCCACACUGGAACGGAGACACGGUCCAGACCCCUACGGGAGGAAGCAGUGGGGAAUUUUCCGCAAUGGGGGAAAGCUUGACGGAGCAACGCCGCGUGAGUUAUGAAGGUUUUCGGAUCGUAAACCUUUUUUAUUAGGGAAAAAAAAAUUUGUAAGUAACUAUGCACGUUUUGACGGUACCUAAUGAGAAAGCCCCGGCUAACUACGU
This 496-nucleotide ribosomal RNA is filed under the name uncultured bacterium. RNAcentral describes it as "partial 16S ribosomal RNA". It matches the Rfam family "Bacterial small subunit ribosomal RNA", at positions 28 to 506 of the family's 1533-position model. The record is from RNAcentral.